CCUUUUGCAUCAUGGUUUAACCAGUAAAAUCAGGCAAAAAGAAUUACAGUCUGAUACCCCGAAACUAAGUGAGCUACUCUAGGACAGCCUAACGGGCCAACCCGUCUCUGUUGCAAAAGAGUGGGAAGAUCUUAGAGUAGAAAUGAUAUAUCUAGCGAACUUAGCGAUAGCUGGUUACUCAGGAAAAGAAUUUCAGUUCAGCCUAAAACUAUAAUAAUACUUAAAAAUACAAACCUAGCUUUAGAGUAAAUCAAGUAGGUAACAGCCUAUCUGAAACAGGAUACAACCUCCAUCUAUGGGUAAUGUUACAUUUAAAUAACUAAGUAGGCCUAAAAGCAGCCACCUUUAAAAUAGCGUCAAAGCUUAAUUAUUAUACCCAAUAAAUCCCCAAAACAAACUAAAACCCUACCUAAGCACUGAGUAAUUCCAUACAUAUAUGGAAAAUAUAAUGUUAAAACUAGUAACAUGAAGUUUAACCCUUCUCUUAAAUGUAAGUGUAAAUCAGAAUGGAACACACACUGACAACUAACAGCUUAAACUAUAGUAACAAACUUAUUCAAGAAAACCCUACUACUCUCCCCUGUUAACCUAACACAAGAACAUUUUAAGAAAGACUUAAAGAAAAAGAAGGAACUCGGCAAAAUUGAUUCCGCCUGUUUACCAAAAACAUCGCCUCCUGAACCUAAGCUAUAGGAGGUCCAGCCUGCCCAGUGACUCUGUUUAACGGCCGCGGUAUCCUAACCGUGCGAAGGUAGCGUAAUCACCUGUUUUUUAAUUAAAGACCUGUAUGAAAGGCAUCACGAGAAUCAAACUGUCUCCUUUCUCAAGUCCGUGAAACUAAUCUCCUCGUGAAAAAGCGAGAAUAUUAAUACAAGACGAGAAGACCCUUUGGAGCUUAAGACAAAAUAAAUACCUGCCCCCUUCAUCUCUCAUAUACCUCAUAACACUCUAUUUAUAAGUCUUGGGUUGGGGCAACCACGGAGUAAAAGAAAACCUCCGAGCUGAACGGAAAUUUCCUAAACAAAAAGCAACAGCUUUAUGUAUCAAUAAACUGACACAAUUUGACCCAAUAUAUUUGAUUAACGAACCAAGUUACCCCAGGGAUAACAGCGCAAUCCACUUAAAGAGUUCAUAUCGAAAAGUGGGCUUACGACCUCGAUGUUGGAUCAAGGUACCCCGGUGGUGCAGCCGCUACCAA
This 1198-nucleotide ribosomal RNA is filed under the name Eleutherodactylus atkinsi (Atkin's robber frog). RNAcentral describes it as "partial 16S ribosomal RNA". It matches the Rfam family "Bacterial large subunit ribosomal RNA", at positions 604 to 2568 of the family's 2925-position model. Lineage: Eukaryota; Metazoa; Chordata; Amphibia; Anura; Eleutherodactylidae. The record is from RNAcentral.